Molecule: ribosomal RNA, 411 nt
Filed under: bacterium enrichment culture clone ALO1_GLFRUDD03G0APE
Lineage: Bacteria
Description: bacterial SSU rRNA
Rfam family: Bacterial small subunit ribosomal RNA
Source: RNAcentral
GAGUUUGAUCGUGGCUCAGAUUGAACGCUGGCGGCAUGCCUUACACAUGCAAGUCGUACGGCAGCACGGGAGCUUGCUCCUGGUGGCGAGUGGCGAACGGGUGAGUAAUGCAUCGGAACGUAUCCUGGAGUGGGGGAUAACGUAGCGAAAGUUACGCUAAUACCGCAUAUUCUGUGAGCAGGAAAGCGGGGGACCUUCGGGCCUCGCGCUCUUGGAGCGGCCGAUGUCGGAUUAGCUAGUUGGUGAGGUAAAGGCUCACCAAGGCGACGAUCCGUAGCAGGUCUGAGAGGAUGAUCUGCCACACUGGAACUGAGACACGGUCCAGACUCCUACGGGAGGCAGCAGUGGGGAAUUUUGGACAAUGGGGGCAACCCUGAUCCAGCCAUGCCGCGUGAGUGAAGAAGGCCUCGG